Molecule: transfer RNA, 70 nt
Filed under: Phrynosoma platyrhinos (Desert horned lizard)
Lineage: Eukaryota; Metazoa; Chordata; Lepidosauria; Squamata; Phrynosomatidae
Description: tRNA-OTHER
Source: RNAcentral
GUACGUGGCGUAGUGGUUUGAGCACUGGGAUACGACUCUGGAGACCAGGGUUCAAAUCCCUGCUUAGCCA